UACAGAGGUGGCAAGCGUUGUUCGGAAUUACUGGGCGUAAAGGGCGCGUAGGCGGUUCGGUAAGUCCUGUGUGAAAUCCCUCGGCUCAACUGAGGAACUGCACGGGAGACUGCCGGGCUUGAGUUUGGGAGAGGGAUGCGGAAUUCCAGGUGUAGCGGUGAAAUGCGUAGAUAUCUGGAGGAACACCGGUGGCGAAGGCGGCAUCCUGGACCAACACUGACACUGAGGAGCGAAAGCCAGGGGAGCAAACGGG
This 253-nucleotide ribosomal RNA is filed under the name uncultured bacterium. RNAcentral's name for it is "partial 16S ribosomal RNA". It matches the Rfam family "Bacterial small subunit ribosomal RNA", at positions 524 to 776 of the family's 1533-position model. The record is from RNAcentral.